AUUGUUGCGUGCAGUGGCGCAAUUCGAAAAAAUCAUCGACAACAGUCGCCUAUCGCCCGCCCGCCACAAUCUGUAGUGAGACAACAACAAAUGUGUGAGCGGUUGUCCAGGAACUGCAAAAAUUUUGCAAUAUGUUGGCGCAGGUUCAGCGAAAACCAGUGCUCAGCGUUUGUGUCUCAAAAUAUGCAUUUUAAUAACCGAAAACAGAAUAAUUAUUAAAAGCAACAAAUAAUAAUAAAAAAAACAAAAUAUUUAACACAA
Drosophila montana is the source of this 261-nucleotide long non-coding RNA. RefSeq lists it as uncharacterized. The transcript is spliced from 3 exons. Lineage: Eukaryota; Metazoa; Arthropoda; Insecta; Diptera; Drosophilidae. The record is from RefSeq and is a predicted model, not a curated record.